RNAcentral lists this ribosomal RNA (419 nucleotides) under uncultured eukaryote. RNAcentral's name for it is "bacterial SSU rRNA". It matches the Rfam family "Eukaryotic small subunit ribosomal RNA", at positions 592 to 1018 of the family's 1831-position model. The record is from RNAcentral.
CAAUAGCGUAUAUUAAAGUUGUUGCGGUUAAAAAGCUCGUAGUUGGAUUUCUGCCGAGGACGACCGGUCCGCCCUCUGGGUGAGCAUCUGGCUCGGCCUGGGCAUCUUCUUGGAGAACGUAUCUGCACUUGACUGUGUGGUGCGGUAUCCAGGACUUUUACUUUGAGGAAAUUAGAGUGUUUCAGGCAGGCUUGGCCGGAAUACAUUAGCAUGGAAUAAUGGAAUAGGACUAUGGUCUCUUUGUUGGUUUGAGGGACUGCAGUAAUGAUUAAUAGGGAUAGUUGGGGGUGGCUAGUAUUGAGAGGCCAGAGGUGAAAUUCUUGGAUUCUCUCAAGACUAACUUAUGCGAAAGCAUUCACCAAGGAUGUCUUCUUUAAUCAAGAACGAAAGUUGGGGGAUCGAAGACGAUUAGAUACCAU